UACGUAGGGCGCAAGCGUUGUCCGGAAUUAUUGGGCGUAAAGAGCUCGUAGGCGGUUUGUCGCGUCUGCUGUGAAAUCCUGAGGCUCAACCUCGGGUCUGCAGUGGGUACGGGCAAGCUAGAGUGUGGUAGGGGAGACUGGAAUUCCUGGUGUAGCGGUGGAAUGCGCAGAUAUCAGGAGGAACACCAAUGGCGAAGGCAGGUCUCUGGGCCACAACUGACGCUGAGGAGCGAAAGCGUGGGGAGCGAAC
Molecule: ribosomal RNA, 250 nt
Filed under: uncultured bacterium
Lineage: Bacteria
Description: partial 16S ribosomal RNA
Rfam family: Bacterial small subunit ribosomal RNA
Source: RNAcentral